This 497-nucleotide ribosomal RNA is filed under the name uncultured bacterium. RNAcentral describes it as "partial 16S ribosomal RNA". It matches the Rfam family "Bacterial small subunit ribosomal RNA", at positions 28 to 507 of the family's 1533-position model. The record is from RNAcentral.
GAUGAACGCUGGCGGCGUGCCUAAUACAUGCAAGUCGAGCGAACAGACGAGGAGCUUGCUCCUCUGACGUUAGCGGCGGACGGGUGAGUAACACGUGGAUAACCUACCUAUAAGACUGGGAUAACUUCGGGAAACCGGAGCUAAUACCGGAUAAUAUAUUGAACCGCAUGGUUCAAUAGUGAAAGACGGUUUUGCUGUCACUUAUAGAUGGAUCCUCGCCGCAUUAGCUAGUUGGUAAGGUAACGGCUUACCAAGGCGACGAUGCGUAGCCGACCUGAGAGGGUGAUCGGCCACACUGGAACUGAGACACGGUCCAGACUCCUACGGGAGGCAGCAGUAGGGAAUCUUCCGCAAUGGGCGAAAGCCGGACGGGGCAACGCCGCGUGAGUGAUGAAGGUCUUCGGAUCGUAAAACUCUGUUAUUAGGGAAGAACAAAUGUGUAAGUAACUAUGCACGUCUUGACGGUACCUAAUCAGAAAGCCACGGCUAACUACGUG